Molecule: long non-coding RNA, 1065 nt
Organism: Cygnus atratus (black swan)
Lineage: Eukaryota; Metazoa; Chordata; Aves; Anseriformes; Anatidae
Exons: 4
Source: RefSeq, a predicted model, not a curated record
AGUGAGACAUUUAUUUAAGAAUCCUUGAGCAGCAGCACAGUUUCAUCGUGAUCUCUCUCUCUCCCUCUCUCUCUCAAAAGAUGCUUAGACACUAGAGCCUGUCUAAUGAUAAAUGGCAGAAUGAUGGUUUCAAGGCAACUCAAGAUGUCUAUGGAUGAAACCUUUGCUGAAUGACCUAUGCUACAAAGGACAGGAGAGGACAAGAUGCAGAAGAUUAUGCACCUAUUAAUGGUUGCAUGAUCUAAGAGAAAAUGUCCUUGAACCAAGAAAUCAUUGAUAUACUGAAUCUCUUAGAAAAUCUGCAGAGCAUUUGAGGAUCUAGAGAAGUAAAACACAAGGUUAGAAGAGGAAAGGAAUCCGAAAGACAAACCUAUACUGUUCAUGAUGUGGGACAGGUGUCAUCAUAACCUGUGACCUGUUCUUGUGAUCCUGACAAGUUACCUACAGAGACAGGAACACAUCACGGACUUAUUACUGGACAAUAUGCUGGAUAUAAUAUGGUCACACCUAAUAAACUGAAAUUGAAUAACAGGUCUGUACAAAAAUACAAAAAUAAAAAAAAAAAUCUUUUGUGGUAAGACCUUAGAACUUCAAGGCUGAGAUAUUUUUAUUGGUUUACGUAGCUAUAACCAACAGUCUUCUUGAUGCUCAUUCAAAUGCACUAUAAUAACUAGAUGAAACUGAAAAUAAUGAAGCCAACAAAGCAGGAAUACUUCAGUUUUGGACUUCUGUGGUCCAUAUUAUACAGGAUGAAAAUCAACAGUCCUUGGAAUCUGAAUAAGAAAUAGAAGUGCAAUCUAUAUGAAAUUCUGAAUGAUCUCCAAGAUGUAACAUACAUAAAGAGGCAAAGCUGUGGAAGAGGACUAAGGUGAGCAAGUCACAAGUAUGACAUCAUAGACCUGUAAAAAAUAACAAAAACAAAACAAAACAAGAAAAAAAAUUAUAUUGAUUUUUUUCUUAGUUUGAUGAAAGAUUUUUUUAGACACAAGAAUGACAAUUCUACUAACAAGAUAGUUCUUCCAUGUUUUAACAUUUGAGGGCUAAUAGUCUCUUUAAAAGCAAUUA